AUGAUAGACCGUAGACGCCUACCCGAGGCCGGUGCAGGCAGUAAUGGCGCCCGCAGCGAGCCAGAGCAGCUGGACUCACCCGCCACAGCGGACCAAAGCACGGGAGGGGGCGAUCUGGGAGGAGAUGGGUGCAGCGCGCGGAGGCGCGCCGCAGCGGAGUCAGCAGAUCCGGGUGGGUUCCAGCGGUGCUUGGGGGCAGGGGAGUUGGGGGUGUCCGGCGUGCCUGGAGUAGGCGGCGCCGCGUGGGUGGUCGCCGCUCCCGGAGUGGGAGGAGGCGAGGAGAGAUCCAUAUAUGUCAUAUCGUGGAACCAUUUCACUGCUGGUAGUAAUGCAUAUCACUAG
RNAcentral lists this ribosomal RNA (342 nucleotides) under Triticum aestivum (bread wheat). Its description in RNAcentral is "partial small subunit ribosomal RNA". The record is from RNAcentral. Lineage: Eukaryota; Viridiplantae; Streptophyta; Magnoliopsida; Poales; Poaceae.